GACGAACGCUGGCGGCGUGCCUAACACAUGCAAGUCGAGCGAAUGAAGUUCCUUCGGGAAUGGAUUUAGCGGCGGACGGGUGAGUAACACGUGGGCAACCUGCCUCAUAGAGGGGAAUAGCCUCCCGAAAGGGAGAUUAAUACCGCAUAAGAUUGUAGUACCUCAUGAUACAGCAAUUAAAGGAGCAAUCCGCUAUGAGAUGGGCCCGCGGCGCAUUAGCUAGUUGGUGAGGUAGUGGCUCACCAAGGCGACGAUGCGUAGCCGACCUGAGAGGGUGAUCGGCCACAUUGGGACUGAGACACGGCCCAGACUCCUACGGGAGGCAGCAGUGGGGAAUAUUGCACAAUGGGGGAAACCCUGAUGCAGCAACGCCGCGUGAGUGAUGACGGCCUUCGGGUUGUAAAGCUCUGUCUUCAGGGACGAUAAUGACGGUACCUGAGGAGGAAGCCACGGCUAACUACGUG
This 464-nucleotide ribosomal RNA is filed under the name uncultured bacterium. Its description in RNAcentral is "partial 16S ribosomal RNA". It matches the Rfam family "Bacterial small subunit ribosomal RNA", at positions 28 to 507 of the family's 1533-position model. The record is from RNAcentral.